RNAcentral lists this ribosomal RNA (656 nucleotides) under Jenufa minuta. RNAcentral describes it as "large subunit ribosomal RNA". It matches the Rfam family "Bacterial large subunit ribosomal RNA", at positions 1 to 666 of the family's 2925-position model. Lineage: Eukaryota; Viridiplantae; Chlorophyta; Chlorophyceae. The record is from RNAcentral.
UAAUAGUAGCACUCAAAAAAUACAAAAGCAACUAGCGGAUGCCUAGGCACAAGUAAAUAAAAGAGACGUGUAUUAAACGAAAAGCUUGUUCGUCGUAGAUAGACGAAAGAUUUCUCUAUAGAAAACUAAAAACGUUAUAAAACUUUAAAUGGAAACUUCCUAAAAAAGAAAGAUAUCAACAGAUAAACCGAAAGUAGUAGCGAGCGAAAUUGGUAAAUAUACAGAAAGCGUUGUACAAAAAAAACUAUAAACAUUAUACUACAUAUUUGUAUUAGAUAAAUAUUGUGGGGUUUAUAUCCGACUAUGGUCGGUACGAUUUAGCUUGAAUUCAAUGGAUAGAGUGCCAAAGUAGGUGAAAGCCCAAAAAUAGCUUAAAUCUUUUACGUAAAAACAACAAAAAAAUAACAAUUAUUGGUGAACCACCAUCAACAAACAAAUAAAUACUUAGUGACCGAUAGUGCAAUAGUACUUUGUAGGAAAGGCUGAAAAGAUGGUUUUAAACCUAGUGAAAUAGAAUACAUGAAACUAGUUGCUAGCAAACAGUUGAAGCUUUAAACAUCGCGUAACGCGAAACGUAAAAAGUGACGACGUACUUUUUGCAUAAUGGGUCAGCGAGUUCAUGAUCAGAGCGUUAAGCUUAAGACAUAAUGCGUAGG